Gambusia affinis (western mosquitofish) is the source of this 1982-nucleotide long non-coding RNA. RefSeq lists it as uncharacterized. The record is from RefSeq and is a predicted model, not a curated record. Lineage: Eukaryota; Metazoa; Chordata; Actinopteri; Cyprinodontiformes; Poeciliidae. The transcript has 3 exons.
AUCACUGGCCAAAACAUCCUCUAAGGUGGGAAACAUUUCCACUGAUCCCGCUCCACGCGCACCCCACAGUACCAACUUUUUCCUAAAUCCACAGAGUUGAUCGUGUGCGUAAAAGACGUUUCUCUCACAUCAGUAGACAGCAAGCAGAUAGCUUUUCCGGUUUACUUUUUCCCUCGCACCGCGCCUCCCCUAAAGUGCUCUGGCGCCCCCCAGGGGAGGCGCGCCUCACACUUUGAAAACCGCCGCACUAGAGUCUUUAGGAGACGUUGUAUGAGGGAAGACGGAGCCGUUAACAGUCAGUUUAUGGCACAGCGCUGAAGCAACCAAGUUAUUAACUACCAAAACUCUUCCCCUGUCAGAUCGCUGAGGCAGCAACCGUUUCCAGUUAGAUAAUCUGGCACACACUCUCUCCAUCACACCCUCCCAGUUUCUGUCCAGAACAGCAUCUGUUCCUAAAAAACACCCAAGAAUGUUGAACCCCGACCAACCCAACGAGUUUUACCUGGUAAAACAGGAGAUCGUCAUCUUUUAAACUGGCACAACUUUCCCCCAGUUUACUUUAGCUGAAGAAGCUUUUUCAUAAAGCUCCAAACAAUGUUGAAGACCCAUAACUGGUUUUUAAUAAAGAUAUUUAUAUCAUCAGCUUGAACAGGGACUGGAAGAACCCGGCCAGUAAGCGUGGAGCGUACUGUGUGCAAAAGGUUGAACUACAAUAGAGAACCAGUGUCCAGAUGUGGGACAGUUUGUCCAAUGUGUCUGUGAACCUUGACAGGACAAGUUCAUCCUCCCCCAACUUUAACAACACAAAACACUUCAGCAUAUAAUAAACCCAGUAAAGAAAUAAACCUUCACCAAGUCCAAACUCUCCUAAUGUAGAGAAGAGAAAACAAUGAUCAACACUGUCAAAGGCUUUUUCUGUUGGGUUCUGGGGUUUUGUUUUUCUUUGUGUGCUUCUUUGCCCACCAGAUGGCACCAGAGGGCUUCUUACCUGGAGAGGCGCAUCCAAGGUUCACGCAGCAGGUUCCAAUCAUCUCAUUAACUCCUGGAGCUUAAAGAAACGGACUGCCAGCACUUCGGCGCCCGAGUGUUAUCCUCUUCAGGAGAUUCCCUCGUGACGCCGUGGGUCUUACCCACUGGAUGCCCGAGCUCCACCUCUUCCGUUUAUUCUCUCAGUCACUCCGCUCAUCAGGCUCCCUUCAGAUCCAAACUUACCUGUCCGCCCUCCACCGCAGUCCACCCCUCCCUGACCGAGGCCGCCGCUUCACUAAAAGCCGAUAACCCCGUGAUUCAUCCCCUGGACAUCAAACCUGUGUAUUUCAAUAAACCUCCUGUUACUGGUCAUCUGUCCUCCUGUUCUGUUCGGCAUGUGGGCCAGGAAAAUAGAAGCCACCAUGACAUUUUCCUGAUCAAGUCUCUUAAAAGAAAAAGAUGAUCUUUGACAUAUUUCUCAGUUCUUCCACAGAGUCGAGUCUCCUGUUACAGGGACAGAACAGCUUAUCGACAGGAUGAUGGUGCGAUCCCUGUUGAUGUCCUGAAGCCCCUCCCACCAGUCCUCAAAAUGUUGGUGAAGAUCUGCAGGUAAACCAUCUGAACCUGGACUCUGGCCAGAAACCAUCUGUCCAGCCGCAGCAGUCGGUCGGUUCUUCCACUGAAACUCCAGCAUCCAGAAUUUGCCGAUCUGCAGCGGUUAGCUGAGGAAGACCAAAGAGGUCCCAGGACACGGCCAUGCUCCUUCAUGAUGCCGGGAUCAGCAGUCAGCGCUCCGUCUGCACGGCGGAGGCGAAUCAGCUGCUUUGCCCGGCUGACGCUCUCCAAAUGAAAAAGAAAAAGAUGUUGGGGCGUCCAGAUCCUUAACUGUGGCAAACCGUGACCCACUAAAGCCCCUGUAGCCCUUUCAUGUAAAAAACCACUUACCUGAUCUUCCUUUAGUGUAAGCUGAUCAUUAUUAACAUCUGUUAAUAAAUUAUUUUCUAACUCUUUAA